GAUCCUGGCUCCGGACGAACGCUGGCGGCGUGCUUAACACAUGCAAGUCGAACGAAGAGCGAUGGAAGCUUGCUUCUAUCAAUCUUAGUGGCGAACGGGUGAGUAACGCGUAAUCAACCUGCCCUUCAGAGGGGGACAACAGUUGGAAACGACUGCUAAUACCGCAUACGAUCUAAUCUCGGCAUCGAGGAUGGAUGAAAGGUGGCCUCUAUUUAUAAGCUAUCACUGAAGGAGGGGA
RNAcentral lists this ribosomal RNA (238 nucleotides) under uncultured bacterium. RNAcentral describes it as "partial 16S ribosomal RNA". It matches the Rfam family "Bacterial small subunit ribosomal RNA", at positions 15 to 230 of the family's 1533-position model. The record is from RNAcentral.